UACGUAGGUGGCAAGCGUUAUCCGGAAUUAUUGGGCGUAAAGAGCGCGCAGGUGGUUGAUUAAGUCUGAUGUGAAAGCCCACGGCUUAACCGCGGAGGGUCAUUGGAAACUGGUCGACUUGAGUGCAGAAGAGGGAAGUGGAAUUCCAUGUGUAGCGGUGAAAUGCGUAGAGAUAUGGAGGAACACCAGUGGCGAAGGCGGCUUCCUGGUCUGUAACUGACACUGAGGUGCGAAAGCGUGGGGAGCAAACAGGAUUAGAUACCCGGGUA
This 269-nucleotide ribosomal RNA is filed under the name uncultured prokaryote. RNAcentral's name for it is "partial 16S ribosomal RNA". It matches the Rfam family "Bacterial small subunit ribosomal RNA", at positions 524 to 792 of the family's 1533-position model. The record is from RNAcentral.